AAAAUGUUGAGGUUUAAAACACUUGCUUCAGUUACUUUAGGCUUCACCAGCCUCUGAUGAUGUAGGAAGUAGCUCAAGUUGAUAGAAGUUACAACUUUUUCUCGUUUUAAAUUUUAAAAAAUAAUCAUAUAAUUGUAUUGUUUAAUGUUUUCGCUCCAGCCAAAUGAUAGUAAGGAUAUUUUCUAAAUUUUUUGACUGUCGUUUGUGUUAAAGGGUGUUUUGUUUCCUGUUCAAAAGGUGAAGGGAGAUUGUUUACCUGCCCUAAAAUGUUUAGGGGGUAAGAUAAAAGGAAUUUUUACAUUUUAUAGCAAGGUUAACAUCUUAUUUAUAUUAAAUAAAUACCAUUUAAAUAAAUUAUAUUCUAUAGAUACUUUUUAUGGUUUAUAGCAAAAUUUUUAAUUUUGGUUAUCUCCUACACUUACACUACAAUACACAUUCUUUAUCUCUCUUAUUUUGAUACACUCCAUUCUCUUUCCCAUUCACUGUAAACUCGCCCAAAACCAGAGAAACUCUCACCCACACUGCUUCCUUCUUCCCCAAUCUCGGCAUAAACCCUAAUUUUCGCUUGAUUGUUGUCAUUUGUUGCUAUAAUUUCUCUUAAUCUUAAUCUUCAAGGCCCAAAUUGUGGACUUCGAGUGUAACCCUCCCACCACAGGUGCUUCUAUUACUUUGCAAAUCAUCUCUCUGUCCGAAUUAUCCAUUUUCAAAUUCAUGAUGCUCCUUUCAAUCUCACUGAUCCCAAUUCAUCAGCCUCAUUCGCCACCGUAGCAUUUGCCGUCCCAAAAAUUCACAGUGUUUUCAGGCAAUCCAUUUGAUUUAACGUCCAUGCCUUCCUGGAUAAACCACUGGACUCGAGCUCUGCACCAGCCUCUAAUCGACCAUCCAUACUUGUCUCUGUAUUUCAUGUAUUUUAUUUUAUUCUCUGUCUUUUUUUUCAUUAUAUUUCAAUGUAUUCCGUUGUAUUCUAUGUAUUUCAUCGUAUUCACUGUCUCGCUAUAUGCCAUGAAUGUAUUCAUAAGUUUUUUUAAUUAAUAUAAUUUAUGUAUUUAGAUGUAUUAUAUAAUUUCUCUGAAGAUUGCUAUGUUUUUGGGGUAUUUUUUGGUUGAGAAUCCUUUUUAUAAUUGAAAAUACAAAUUUUGUGUGUUAUAAUUGAGUUUGUUGAGUUAUAUUAGGAGUCUAUUAUAUUAAUUGAUUCACUUUCCGUUUUAAAAACAGUGUAAUCCCCUAUUUCACGCCGUGAAUAUAGUCGAAUACAAUAAUNUNUCCNNNNNNNNNNNNNNNNNNNNNNNNNNNNNNNNNNNNNNNNNNNNNNNNNNNNNNNNNNNNNNNNNNNNNNNNNNNNNNNNNNNNNNNNNNNNNNNNNNNNNNNNNNNNNNNNNNNNNNNNNNNNNNNNNNNNNNNNNNNNNNNNNNNNNNNNNNNNNNNNNNNNNNNNNNNNNNNNNNNNNNNNNNNNNNNNNNNNGAUUAGCUCGGACUUCCCUGAUUCAUGCCUAUUUUUGCUACUGUAUUCAUGAAUACAAUAGCUUAAAUACAUCAAAUACAUAUUAUAACCACAUAAAAUGUAUCUAUAAUUAGUAAUAUAGCAAAUGGUAUCUAUAGAUGACUAAUUACUACUAAAAGAUAGUGUUUUAUGAAAAUUUCUCAAGAUAAAACUUACUCUUCUUAUUUCAUGCCCACUAGCCACUAAUUAGGACACACGGGCCUGGAUUUGGGCCUUAAGCUAGAGAAUUGUAGAGAAAAUUUCAUUUGCAGCCAUCCGGGAAAAAUUAUGACAAUAGCUAGCCACAAAACAAUCCAUAUAAUUAACAGUCCAAAACUAAUAAAAAGGCUAGCCCAACACCAUUGCCACUCAAAACCCUAACUUCCUUCUCACUCAAAACUAAUUUGGAUCCGCAUGUAUUUCUAGAACUUCCUCAAGUCUAAGCUGACACUCAUCGGGAGUCUUCAAGAGCUGCAGUUUCUCUACAUCUCUAAGGGGUCGUUUGGUAGGAUGCAUUAGAUAAGCUAAUGAUUAAUAAUACAUUGUUUGGUAGACAUUUUGAACCUAUGCAUUAGUUAUACAUCCUAUUUGGUAUUAUCCUAUGCAUAACUAAUGCAUAGAAAAUAAUGGUAUUAGCAAUGCAAUGGGUUUUAAUGCAUGCAUUAACUUAGUUAAAGAUAAAAUUGUCCUUCAAAAUUUAUGCUUGAUUAAAAUAUUCUAGUUAGUAUAUUAAUGCAAGUUCAAAAUAAUCCAAAUAGUGAGAAAUAAAAUUAUAUCCCUAGUAAAUAAAUAAAUACUUAGCAUAUUUCCUUUUUUAGAAAUAAAUAUUUAAUUUUAUUUUACAAUAUAGGUAGACAAAUAAAAUAAUUUUUUAAAACUUUUUCAUAUAAAAAUAUUUCUCAACAUAUGUUUCUUUUAAAAAGUUAGAGUGUGGACUAGUUUUGAGGGUAUUUUUGUAAACAAACAAUUCUUUUAGAAACUGUGCAAUGCUUUAAUACAUCAAACCAAACAAUAAAUAAGAAAUAUGUCAGCAUAACUAAUAUCAACAUAACUAAUACAACAUUACUAAUACACCCUAUUCAGUAUUAUUCUUAUGCACCCUACCAAACGACCCCUAAGUAUAAUCAUUAGUUAAGGAGUAGUUAAGGAGUAUAUAAAAGUGACUGAUUCAGCCCAAGUGACAAGAAGCAAAGAUUAAUAGAAGGGGAUGGGAGAAUUGCUUCUAAAGGUGUCAUCUUCUGUUGUAUUGGUGGAUCUCUCCAUAUUUGAUCCGGACAAAACAAUAUUCAAGGUCCAAAAUUCAAACGAUGCCAAAGUGAGGAUAAGUUUAUUAAACAACAUAAAAUAACAAUUAAAAGGAAAUUAAAAAAAAAAAAAAGGAAACACAUGAAUUAUUGCAAAGAGCACAUAACAUUCAUAACCUAGAGAUUGAAUCCUAAUGCAAACCCAGCCAUAACCUGAAGUACAUAUGCUAAAAAAAAGGCAAUAACAAUUUUCAUAAGCAAACUUUACUUAUCCUCUGAUAUCAAGGAAAAUUUAUUAUCAGGCCCUAGCACUGCACACAAUUCAAACCUUUUUGUUCAUCAUAUCACCAAUAUUUAAAAGUCAUUUUAGAUUAUAUAUUAUACUGGAGAGCAUUUCUUUUGAAUAUUGGUAUACUAUAAAAUAUAUAUACAAAAUAGACUGUCACUAUACAAAAAUCAUACAAAAAUAGACUGUCAUUAUACAAAAAAUUUACUAAAUAGACUGUCACUAUAUAAAAUAUAUACAAAAAUAAACUGUCACUAUACAAAAAUAUACUAAAUAGACUGUUAUUAUAUAAUCUAUAUAUAAUAGACUGUCACUAUACAAAAAUAUAUAUAAAAUAGACUGUCACUAUACAAAAAAUAUACAAAAUAUAUUAUCACUAUACAAAAAAUAUACAAAAUAAAUUGUCACUAUACAAAAAAUAUAUAAAAUAAACAUUUCAGAUUAUUAGAUGUAAUAUGUUUGGGCUGGAGGACCAUUUUGUGCCAAUGUGCAAAAAUAUUGGCUAUUAAAAUUUUGAGGGGCUAUAGAGGGUAGUUUUCUAGAGAAUUGUAACUGCUAAAUGGCUAAUGAAUCCAAAGCUAAAAAAGAAUUCAUCUAAAUAGCCGUUCACCUAAUCUCUUAAACUAUAAAUAGCCGCAAAUAUAUAAUAUAUGUAUAACUGUAUAUCAUCAAUAUAUAAUUUAUACAUACCGAUUAAAAAAAGUAAAUAUUAAAUCUCGCUGGCUAUUAGUGCAACGAUCCCUUUUUUUUCUUGAUGCUACUAUGGUGAAAAACCUAACUUUUGAUGUAUAUCACCAUACUUCAUUUUUUUUUUCCUCAUAGUUUAUGAAGUAGAAAAGAUUAAUUGGCAUAGCAGUCGCCAAAAUGUCACCGAUUUAACUUAUUUCAUUGGACUAUCCGCUUUGACACAAACAUUUUACCAAUUGGCAUGCUAGAUGGCAGGUCUAAAGUGUAUAAUUAUCUUAUUUAAAAGUUUAAACUCUCGAUUGAUUAAAUUUACAUUAAAUUAAUUUUAUUUUCAACACAUUCUUUCACAUGCAAGUUUGAAUCUUUUUCAUCAAGGGUCGAACACUUUAAAAAAAAAUUAAUAAUGAGUGGCGCUAAGAAAUGAAUUUAUGCCUAUGCCUACUCUAACACCCCAUUAAUGAUGUAAUCAUCCACAACUUGAAAAUUUAAGCGACUAGAUUAGAUUUUUAUUUACUUAAUUAUAUUAUAUUUUUUUCAAUAGAAAAACAUGGAGAAUAGUGGUAUAGUGGUCCUAGUGGAGCUUGUUAUCUUCAGCUUAUUAUCUGAUGGUCCAAAGGGGCUACUAUAAUUGGAAAAUUUACCUGAAUGUGAUGAUUGCGUGACAAACAAUAUAGGCUACAGGCAUCAGAUACUCUAUUCCUUAUUUAAUCCCCCGAAUUUUUGCACUCUCCUCAAUAUUUGGUCCACAGAAUGUGAAAAUGUCACAAUUUAGUCCAGGGACCAUGAUCUAUUUCUCUUUUAG
RNAcentral lists this long non-coding RNA (4499 nucleotides) under Nicotiana tabacum (common tobacco). RNAcentral describes it as "long non-coding RNA (NTAB_LNC018543)". Lineage: Eukaryota; Viridiplantae; Streptophyta; Magnoliopsida; Solanales; Solanaceae. The record is from RNAcentral.